GAUGAACGCUGUCGGCGUGCCUAAUACAUGCAAGUCGAGCGAACAGACGAGGAGCUUGCUCCUCUGACGUUAGCGGCGGACGGAUGAGUAACACGUGGAUAACCUCCCUAUCACACUGGGAUAACUUCGGGAAACCGGAGCUAAUACCGGAUCAUAUAUUUAACCUCAUGGUUCAAUAGUGACACACGCUUUUUCUGUCCCUUAUAGAUGGCUCCGCGCCGCAUUAGCUAGUUGGUAAGGUAACGGCUUCCCAAGGCAACCAUGCGUAGCCCCCCUGAGAGGGUGAUCGGCCACACUGGAACUGAGACACGGUCCAGACUCCUACGGGAGGCAGCAGUAGGGAAUCUUCCGCAAUGGGCGAGAGCCUGACGGAGCAACGCCGCGUGAGUGAUGAAGGUCUUCGGAUCGUAAAACUCUGUUAGUAGGGAAGAACAAAUGUGUAAGUAACUAUGCACGUCUUGACGGUACCUAAUCAGAAAGCCACGGCUAACUACGUG
RNAcentral lists this ribosomal RNA (497 nucleotides) under uncultured bacterium. RNAcentral's name for it is "partial 16S ribosomal RNA". It matches the Rfam family "Bacterial small subunit ribosomal RNA", at positions 28 to 507 of the family's 1533-position model. The record is from RNAcentral.